This 574-nucleotide long non-coding RNA is filed under the name Olea europaea (common olive). Its description in RNAcentral is "long non-coding RNA (OEUR_LNC000848)". The record is from RNAcentral. Lineage: Eukaryota; Viridiplantae; Streptophyta; Magnoliopsida; Lamiales; Oleaceae.
UUGUUAUAGCACAAUGUUCAUCGUUAACUGCUAUGACUUUUUUGGACAAUCACUCCUUGAAUACAAAGAUCAAACCAAUUGUGCAGCAAUGACAAAUGAUUUUCAGAACCCUCAAGUUAUACUCCAAAAGUUGGUGCAUGAAAGUCUGCCCUGGUCAUCUUGGAACUCUGCCACCAACAUUGAUGAAGACAAAUUAAAACCAUUUGUGCACAAAAAUAAUUCAACCAAAUGAAGAACCUGGGGUUUCUAGCAUUAUCAUAAAGACUAACAUUAUGCAGUCCAAGCUCUUUCGGUGUCCCUCACAUCUCCAGAUACCGGAUAUGCAUUCCUUACAAGUUGAUUCAUCUCAAUUAGCACUCGAAUAGAAUAAAAACCGCUGUUCGCACUCAAAACUUGUCAGAAUUUGGAACAAAUGCAAUAUCGGACCCUCCUAAUGAGGGAACAACUUAAAGCGGUUAAAAAAAAGUCAAUGAAGCGGGUGGUUUGUGACUUUCCAAAAAUUUCCAUAAUCCGACAAAUCAACCCAACGAUCUCUUAUAUUGUUUCGUUAGAUAUUGUGAUGCAAACCAUGUCG